UACAUGAAUCUGACGCUCAACUGGGAAAAAAGGCUAUAGAAACUUCUGAGUAUCUGAUUCUGAUGGAAUCUCUAAAAGAGGAGCUUUCAAGGAAGACCGCCGAACAGACCAGCGAGAUUGAUCAGCUGACAAAGGAGAAUGAAGAUCUGAAGGACAAAAUUUCUGGAUUGGAGAAAACACUGUCAGAGAGAGAGGACCAAUCCUCUUCUCUAGAAAAGAAACUUGAAGAGGCCUCAAUUGAAGCAUCAGCUUUGAUUGAUGCUUCUGCAAUUGAAAUGAACAAAUUGCAACAGGAGUUGGAAUCCUUGCAUGCUGAGAAUCUGAAAUUGCAAGUAGAGAACGAAGGCCGCGUUAAACUGGGUAAGGAUCUAGAAUUGCAAGUAGACAUGGUGCAAACCAAGAUAAAAGAACUUGAGGACCAACUACUGGAACAAACAAACGAAAUUGAUCAGUUGAGAAAGGAGAAUGAUGACCUGAAGGACAAAAUUUCUGGAUUGGAGAAAACAUCGUCAGAGAGAGAGGACCAGUACUCUGCUCUAGAAAAGAAACUUGAAGAGGCAUCAAUUGAAGCAUCAGCUCUGCUUGAUGCUUCUGCAAUUGAAAUAAACAAAUUGCAACAGGAUUUGGAAUCCUUGCAUGCUGAGAAAAGCCAGUUGGAGUUGUUGGCUGAAAAAGAUAAACAAG
RNAcentral lists this long non-coding RNA (684 nucleotides) under Daucus carota (carrot). Its description in RNAcentral is "long non-coding RNA (DCAR_LNC000964)". Lineage: Eukaryota; Viridiplantae; Streptophyta; Magnoliopsida; Apiales; Apiaceae. The record is from RNAcentral.